This 465-nucleotide ribosomal RNA is filed under the name uncultured bacterium. RNAcentral describes it as "bacterial SSU rRNA". It matches the Rfam family "Bacterial small subunit ribosomal RNA", at positions 330 to 793 of the family's 1533-position model. The record is from RNAcentral.
GCCAGACUCCUACGGGAGGCAGCAGUGAGGAAUAUUGGUCAAUGGGCGAGAGCCUGAACCAGCCAAGUCGCGUGAGGGAUGACGGUCCUAUGGAUUGUAAACCUCUUUUGUCAGGGAGCAAAGGGCGCCACGUGUGGCGUUUUGCGAGUACCUGAAGAAAAAGCAUCGGCUAACUCCGUGCCAGCAGCCGCGGUAAUACGGAGGAUGCGAGCGUUAUCCGGAUUUAUUGGGUUUAAAGGGUGCGCAGGCGGAAUGUCAAGUCAGCGGUAAAAUUUCGGGGCUCAACCCCGUCGUGCCGUUGAAACUGGCAGUCUCGAGUUGGAGAGAAGUAUGCGGAAUGCGCGGUGUAGCGGUGAAAUGCAUAGAUAUCGCGCAGAACUCCGAUUGCGAGGGCAGCAUGCCGGCUCCACACUGACGCUGAGGCACGAAAGCGUGGGUAUCGAACAGGAUUAGAUACCCCCGUAA